This 29-nucleotide non-coding RNA is filed under the name Rattus norvegicus (Norway rat). Lineage: Eukaryota; Metazoa; Chordata; Mammalia; Rodentia; Muridae. The record is from RNAcentral.
UAGGAGCGUUGAACUCCCUGGGGCAAGUC